Prunus avium (sweet cherry) is the source of this 291-nucleotide non-coding RNA. Lineage: Eukaryota; Viridiplantae; Streptophyta; Magnoliopsida; Rosales; Rosaceae. The record is from RefSeq and is a predicted model, not a curated record.
CUUUGAAGGAGUGUACAAGAGCACUUGAGAACCAUGUGCUUGCAGACGCCACAUCUCAUGAACUAAACACAGAAGAAUCAUAGGAUGACUUUCUGCAUGCUGAAAGCUCUCAUUUGGAUGGAGAUCAAGUGGCCACAGUAUCAGAUGGUGUUUUGGACUUGCAAGAUUUACAAAGAAGAAUUAAAGCUAUUGAAAAGGCAAUGGUGGAAAAGGAAAGGCAUUUUUCCGCAAAUCAAGUAGAAAAGAAAUUCGGGUGGCGGACCUACAGAGGCGCAAGGAGGUGCAGCUGCA